CCAGCCGGUCUCAUUGUAGCCUCAGAGGCCCGCGCAUGCGCAGAACCGGCGCUCAGAGCGGCAGAGGGGCCGGCGAGCUGGAGAGCUGCGUGACGCGUGCACUGGAGGCAGGGUCCCUGGUGCGGAGGUGGCGGCUGCGCUGGUUUGUGUGUGGGGAUUGGCAGUUUCUGGAUCCUUCCUCCAGGAUUUUCAGCGCUGUGGAGCUCUCCUUUCUGCAGUGUGGAGGAGCGCUGGGCAGGAGGCGGCGCCGAGUCAUUCUACUUUUGGAAACCUGUCCCAAGGAGAUGCUCUCUCAUAUGAACAUUUCAGAUGCAGAGAUGAGUGUUUCUAGUAACAAAAAUUUGCAACAACUUUAAGAGCCAAGGAUGGGAGAUGGCUGCAUGGAUGAUGGCAUGCUCACAGAAAAACAGCUUUUGCCAACUUGUCUUUCCUCUUCUGCUCCCUCUGAGGGAUUCUGUGUUUUUAAGGGGCCGCUGUUACACUCGGGGAGGAUGGAAGUGCCGCCAGCCUGGAGGAUUGGGCCCUGGAGAGGGACUUCUCAGGUGGAGGCGGGAGCAGGAGGCCUGGGGACCUCUGCCAGGGCUGCCUGCUCACCUAGGCCCCAGUGGGCCAGCUGGAGACGCAGGCCUUCAGCCCUUGGUAGAGAUCUGGUGCAAACACACGAUGGCCUCACUGACAGAGGAGGCACAGGUAACAUCUGAUGGAACAAUGGAGCACACCCCAGGGGCGUGGAGCCUCAGCCCUCAUGUGUUACUGCCUCCUGCUGCCUCCCUGGGAUGGUUUCUCAGCUGCUCGCUCCCCACACGCCCGCACCCCAGAACCCAUGACCUCGUCUACCCUCUGUCUGGGAGCAAAUGGGUUCA
Molecule: long non-coding RNA, 863 nt
Organism: Diceros bicornis minor
Lineage: Eukaryota; Metazoa; Chordata; Mammalia; Perissodactyla; Rhinocerotidae
Exons: 4
Source: RefSeq, a predicted model, not a curated record